Molecule: ribosomal RNA, 492 nt
Filed under: uncultured bacterium
Lineage: Bacteria
Description: partial 16S ribosomal RNA
Rfam family: Bacterial small subunit ribosomal RNA
Source: RNAcentral
AGUGAACGCUGGCGGUAGGCCUAACACAUGCAAGUCGAACGGCAGCACAGUAAGAGCUUGCUCUUACGGGUGGCGAGUGGCGGACGGGUGAGGAAUACAUCGGAAUCUACUUUUUCGUGGGGGAUAACGUAGGGAAACUUACGCUAAUACCGCAUACGACCUACGGGUGAAAGCAGGGGAUCUUCGGACCUUGCGCGAUUGAAUGAGCCGAUGUCGGAUUAGCUAGUUGGCGGGGUAAAGGCCCACCAAGGCGACGAUCCGUAGCUGGUCUGAGAGGAUGAUCAGCCACACUGGAACUGAGACACGGUCCAGACUCCUACGGGAGGCAGCAGUGGGGAAUAUUGGACAAUGGGCGCAAGCCUGAUCCAGCCAUACCGCGUGGGUGAAGAAGGCCUUCGGGUUGUAAAGCCCUUUUGUUGGGAAAGAGAAGCAGCAGGUGAAUACCCCGCUGUUCUGACGGUACCCAAAGAAUAAGCACCGGCUAACUUCGUG